AACUGAACGCGUGUGACAGUUUCCCGUGUCGUAAUGGCGGAGCUUGCAUCAACUUGAUCUCGGAUUUCAGAUGCAUUUGCUUAGCAAAUUACGGAGGAACCACGUGCGAAGAAGUUCUGAAUCCGUGUAACAGCAACCCUUGCCAAAACGGAGGCCAGUGUGUCAACCAACAAAACACAUUCUUCCAGUGUGUAUGCGGUCAAGGAUAUACGGGUACAUUUUGUGAAAUCAAGAUCAACUACUGCUCCAGUAAUCCUUGCUACAACGGUGGUACGUGUAAUAACCUCCCAACGAGUUAUCGAUGUGAUUGUUUGCAAGGUUAUUCCGGUUUCAACUGCUUCACAGAGAUUAACGAAUGCGCAAGUUUUCCGUGUCAAAAUGACGGGUUAUGUCUAGAUCGCAUUGGUUACUAUACUUGCCAAUGCGCCACCAACUAUCAAGGGACC
Saccoglossus kowalevskii is the source of this 446-nucleotide long non-coding RNA. The record is from RefSeq and is a predicted model, not a curated record. Lineage: Eukaryota; Metazoa; Hemichordata; Enteropneusta; Harrimaniidae.